AUUGAACGCUGGCGGCAUGCCUUACACAUGCAAGUCGAACGGCAGCACGGGAGCAAUCCUGAUGGCGAGUGGCGAACGGGUGAGUAAUACAUCGGAACGUGCCCAAUCGUGGGGGAUAACGCAGCGAAAGCUGUGCUAAUACCGCAUACGAUCUACGGAUGAAAGCAGGGGAUCGCAAGACCUUGCGCGAAUGGAGCGGCCGAUGGCAGAUUAGGUAGUUGGUGAGGUAAAGGCUCACCAAGCCGUCGAUCUGUAGCUGGUCUGAGAGGACGACCAGCCACACUGGGACUGAGACACGGCCCAGACUCCUACGGGAGGCAGCAGUGGGGAAUUUUGGACAAUGGGCGAAAGCCUGAUCCAGCCAUGCCGCGUGCAGGAUGAAGGCCUUCGGGUUGUAAACUGCUUUUGUACGGAACGAAACGGCCUUUUCUAAUAAAGAGGGCUAAUGACGGUACCGUAAGAAUAAGCACCGGCUAACUACGUGCCAGCAGCCGCGGUAAUACGUAGGGUGCAAGCGUUAAUCGGAAUUACUGGGCGUAAAGCGUGCGCAGGCGGUUAUGUAAGACAGUUGUGAAAUCCCCGGGCUCAACCUGGGAACUGCAUCUGUGACUGCAUAGCUAGAGUACGGUAGAGGGGGAUGGAAUUCCGCGUGUAGCAGUGAAAUGCGUAGAUAUGCGGAGGAACACCGAUGGCGAAGGCAAUCCCCUGGACCUGUACUGACGCUCAUGCACGAAAGCGUGGGGAGCAAACAGG
Molecule: ribosomal RNA, 753 nt
Filed under: uncultured Comamonadaceae bacterium
Lineage: Bacteria; Pseudomonadati; Pseudomonadota; Betaproteobacteria; Burkholderiales; Comamonadaceae
Description: bacterial SSU rRNA
Rfam family: Bacterial small subunit ribosomal RNA
Source: RNAcentral